GUACUUCGGCUUUUAUAAGCUUGUAUGGCCAUCAAAUUGAGCAGUCAGAAGCCCUCUGUCAAAAACUGUGCGGCUGCAAAAUUUGAGGAAAGAUUUUUCUCCAGAUCCUCUGGUCUACCUGAGACCUUGAUUUUGUUCUUGUGAGACCAAAGCCGAGAAGUCAGUCCAGCACCCUGGAACUUCUGACCCACAGAAAUGUGAGCCUCCCUUCCCAGAGAGCCCACGCAGUUGAGACCCACGCUGCAUCCUGUGGAAAGGAUCAUUCUCUUUUCUCCAGGCUCCAGAGUUGAGGUGAACAGCAGAAUUGAGACAGGAGAACAAAAUAUCAGAGGUGUAGCUCCUCAACUGGCAUGUUACCCCAGACUCGUGGAAGAAAACGCGUAAAGGGAAUUUCCCCCAAGGAGCCUUAUUUAUGCAUUCCUGCAAAAACACUAAUACCCUAGAAAGUACAGCCACAUGAAUGCCUCUGAACUUGUUUGAUGGAUGACAAUUGUCCUGUCAUUAUGCUGGUGGAAGACAAAGUGGCGGAAGGUAGGAAUGGAGAAGGGCUGGGCACUACUACCAUGCACACAAAGUGGGUGAAACUUUGUGAUGUCUAAGGCAUAUUCCAUUGGCAUUUUGUGACUCUGAGUCUAAAGGUUGCAACCCAAGGCAUGCAGGUUGCCUCUAGAAGCUGGGAAUGUCUCUUAGCAAGGAAACGGGGAUGUCAGUUCUACAUCACAGGAUCUUAAUUCUGUCAGCAACCUGAAUGGGCAAGAACACAGAUUCUACCCCCAAACUUCCAGAAAGAAACACAUCUCUGCUGACACCCUAAUUUUUAGCCUGGUGAGAUCCAUACCAAGUUCUGACCAGGGGAACUCUAAGAUGAUAAAUUGAUGUUGUUUUAAGCCACUAACUUUGUGGUAAUUUUAUUGUAGUAGCAAAGGAAAACUAAAACCUUCAGGAAAGAAAACAUCACAACACUUCCUUAAUGAUCAAGAAGGAAAAUAAUAGCAACAAAAAUCUGGUAAGACAUCAUGACAUCUGACUUAAUUUCCUCUUCUAUCAGGAUUAUUGGGAGAAACAGGGAAGGCAGGUUGAGGAGUCUAUGCAUGAAUGAGAUUUUCAGUGCUUAGCUGAAAUGUCUGCUUUGAAUCCCAUGGACCUUUAAAGCUCCAUUAGGCAUACUCUCUUCUUCUGUCUCCCUAAAGCUGGGUAAACAUCUCCCAAAUUCUAUGUCUUUUUAACCCUGCUGAUCCAAAUCUAAGUAGUAUUUCUUUAAAUAGUGUCAAUGACAAUUUUGCCUUUGGGAAUUCUUUGAAGCUAUGGAUUGCUUCUAAAAGCAUUUUUGCAUAACAGGACAACGUUUAAAUUUUACCUCUUUUAGUAGAGUUGAAGAAGUUAUUAUCCCUAGUCCCUGAAAUAUCAAUAUGGGGUAAAAUUAUAGUAAGGGCAUGAGUUAUAAAGAAAUGAAAAGUCUGGUUCAUCAUACUGAUUCAAGCAUAAAGGGUUUCUGCAGUUUGCUUUGGACUUAAUGGAAAGACUUUAUCUGUUAUUUCAUAAUACAGCUUGCUAUCUGAUGAGUGGUGCCACUGAUAUCACUUUGUAAGCAUUUUGUUUAUUUCUGGAAGUAGAAGCAGUAGGAAAAACAGCUAAGCUCUUCAGAGAAUUAAAACUUGAAGUGGAAGUUCAGUUUAGUCCUUAGUGGCAAGCCUCCUCUAAAAGCUGUUUUAAGAUGAGAUUCUCACUUAUAAAUAAACAACUUGGAAUUUUUUUCCCCUGCUGAUUGACUUUCCAUGAGGAACUUCAACUUCACACAUUCUCUGGGGUAUCAUAAAACCAACUCCUGGGAUCCAAGUUGUCAGUUUCCUCUUUGGAAGUCUGACUGCUCAUGUUCUACUCUUCCCUCUGUGAGUGACACAGAGUGACAGAGGCUGAGAGCACUGUGAUGACUGCCUCAUUACAAUAACAGACAGGGUAUAGCUGGGCUUGGGACUUCUUACUGCACUUUCUGAGGCCCAGCAACCAGGUCUCCAGUUGAGAUAGGGACAAGCUAUUUUUCUGUGCUGUGAUAGGACAACAAGACUGAGGGUAGUAUUUUUUUUUUUUUUUUUUUUUUUAGGGCCACACCUGCAGCAUAUGGAGGUUCCCAGGCUAGGGGUCGAAUCUGAGCUACAGCUGAUGGCCUACACCACAGCCACUACCACAGGAUCCAAGCUAUGUCUGUGACCUACACCACAGCUCACAGCAAUGCCAGAUCCUUAAAUUAUUGAGUAAGGCCAUGGAUCAAACCCGAAACCUCACGGUCAGAUUCGUUUCAGCUGUGCCACAAUGGUAACUCUAAUUUUUUAAUAAACAUAGGGCUUAAAAAAUUGAGCAUCAUAGAAUCAGUAGGAAACUUAGAAGUUUUCAAGUCCAACCCAGAGUACAAGGAAGAAAUCUCUUCAGAGUAUUCCCCAAAUAUAAGAUUGAAUGUCACAGUAACAGAGAUUUGUUACCUCUCAGAAAACUGUUUGUUAGAAAUCAGGUCCUUAUGUUGACCAGAAUCUAGACCUUUGUAAAAUUUCCCUUGGUGGUUUUAUAGUCAUUGGCCAUAAAACAAGUCCAGUCUUAUCUCCAGUAGAAUGCUCAAGCCCUGAAGGGUUCUUAAAAAAAUGAUGUUGCUCAAACCUAUCAUUCUACAAGUAAGAAAACUAGGACCAAAGAAGGUCAGUGUUUUACUCAUAUUCACAGAACUAGUUGAUGGUCAUCAAGAAUUCGAGAUGCUUAACUGCCUGAGUUUUACCCACCAUACUCUGUUGAAACCGAACACAGUGAAAGGACUGUCUAUGUAUUUAAAACAUGCUUUCCUCAACUGACCUGGGCUACUAUCAGGAGGAAAAAUGAAUUCUGGAAUAAAAAACAUUACAAGCUC
This 2893-nucleotide long non-coding RNA is filed under the name Sus scrofa (pig). RNAcentral's name for it is "lncRNA (ENSSSCG00050009029.1)". Lineage: Eukaryota; Metazoa; Chordata; Mammalia; Artiodactyla; Suidae. The record is from RNAcentral.